Molecule: long non-coding RNA, 1777 nt
Organism: Felis catus (domestic cat)
Lineage: Eukaryota; Metazoa; Chordata; Mammalia; Carnivora; Felidae
Exons: 3
Source: RefSeq, a predicted model, not a curated record
UGGAAGAAACUUAGCUCCAAGUGAUUCCCUGAGUAUUCCACAAGUACAAAAAAGUAGGCUGGUAGCAACUCUCCUGCGAAUUUCAGCCAUGUGGAGAAGAAACCAUAACCUCCCACAACUACCACGUUCCAUCUCCGUGGGAGCAAGCUCAAAAGCCCUUCCUGCUCCCGAUUCUGUGAGUUACCAAGGAAACUGCAGGCCAUGUAAAUAUACUUGGUAUUUGAGAGGUAUUCCCUGAGGACCUACUCUUCCAUUUGUGUUUAACGAGGUCUUUUUACUGACACACACUAAGUAACAUAGAAAACUCUAAUCAAUGGUUCCCUGAAUUCAUAGAUGGCCCUUGUAGUCCAGGAACGUACAAUGUCAACGUCAACAACAUGGGAAAAUUGCGUACAAACAGCGCUCCCACCUAGCAGGUAACCUGGUGUUUGGAAAUGCCUGAGAGUGUCCAGGGAUCAGAUACUGCAAUUUUCACCAGCUGAAGGUUUGCGGCAACCCUGCAUCCAACAAAACUGCUAAAAAGAAGCAAGACUGAAAAAGUUUAUCUUUUCAUUUCGCCUUCACUGAAGGGAUCGUGGCUGUUGCCAAAUAUCAGACAACAGAGAGAAAGAAAAAGCCAAAGGAAUAAAAAUAUCUAACAAAUGGACAAUGGCCUCUGAGUGAUGGAAAAUUCACAUUAUGUGGCACUUGGUGUCGCACAGGUCUUAGGCUAAACAACAAAUUACUGAACCAUAAGAAGCUAUUUCUCUGUGUUCUUCCCAGGCCCUACAAACAGUAGACAAAUGAGUCCCCACAUUCAAGAAUGCAUCGGUCUUAGUUCAUCCACCAAAUAUUGGGAAGGAAUGUUGCCCUUCCCAAAGUGAAGAAUCUCAACAUGUAAACAAAAGUGAAAUGUCAUUCUGAUGUCACUACAAGGAUCCAUAUAGACUUUGAUUCCUUUGACAAACCCACAUAGUACAGGACCCCUUCCACACUUCCAUGCCAUGGAGGCAAGAGUGCUGUUCCCACUCCCUAACCUCCCUGUAAAUACAGCUCUCCAGAGCAAGCCAAAGUCCUUCCACCCAGAAUUCUCUCUCUUUCUCUCCCCACCCCAGUCUCUCUCUCUCUCUCACACACACACACAUACGUCCAUGUCAUUUGUGGGUUCUAUUAUGAGUCUCACGUAAAAAUUUGAUAUUUGUUUUAACACCACAGCCUGCAUCCCCAGAAUUGCUCUACUCUGUACUUGUUCAAUCAAUUCUAAUUUUUCCAGAUCAUUUAAAUCCUUUCUAUUGUCUUACUCUUGCUGAAUAACAAUCACUCUGUCUGUACUGUCAUCGUUUAGUGCCUGAAUAUAAAAGCCCUUUUCUGACAAAAAUUUUCCAUCUCUUCUGUCUUCGCAUCGUGGCACGGCAUGGCACGCUCCAGCGCCCUGACUGCCAUGGGAUCCCCAAUCACACUUAAACAUGUCUACCUAAAAGUGACAUGGACAAUAAUAUUUUCUAAUGAAAUCAGAUUCCCUACACUGAUUUCUUUGUUUUCGUUCCCCAGCAAUGAAAUAUCACCGUGUGGUUACGCAAGUGGAACUGUACCUUGAGUAUUUCUAUGCAAAUUAGAACAAGUACUUGCUGAUGUGCACACAGGCACAGAAACACACACAGAGACUUGUAAUGAGGUAAGUGUGUAGUAGGAGUGGAUCGGAGGGACUUAGAUGACUGCAGAGAGGAAAUAUUGACUCCAGAUGACUAAGUCAACAUAAAGUGUGAGGAACUCACCUCAGAACCCAGUCAAACUUCAU